RNAcentral lists this ribosomal RNA (253 nucleotides) under uncultured bacterium. RNAcentral's name for it is "partial 16S ribosomal RNA". It matches the Rfam family "Bacterial small subunit ribosomal RNA", at positions 524 to 776 of the family's 1533-position model. The record is from RNAcentral.
UACGAAGGUGGCUAGCGUUGUUCGGAAUUACUGGGCGUAAAGCGCGUGUAGGCGGGCCGUUAAGAUGGGGGUGAAAGCCCGGAGCUCAACUCCGGAACUGCCUUCAUGACUGGCGGCCUGGACUCAAGGAGAGGCAAGUGGAAUUGCGAGUGUAGAGGUGAAAUUCGUAGAUAUUCGCAGGAACACCAGUGGCGAAGGCGACUUGCUGGACUUGUAGUGACGCUGAGACGCGAAAGCGUGGGGAGCAAACAGG